AGGUCUUGCCAAUUUAUUAGUGACUUUUAUCAACUUCAUGAAAGUAUUAAGAAUUUAUCAACUCUAUGAAAGUCACUAACUUUAAAAAAAUAUUAAAAAAAAAUCUUUAUAAGUAUGAAUUGGAUCUCAUAGAGAAUUCAGGGGGCGGGGUAGUGUGACGGAGAAAAAAGGGAAAGAGAGGCAUAAGAGGUGAUGCUUCACUGGCGGUGAAGAGAGGAGGAGCUCACGGGUGUUGGGGGUUAUUUGGGAUGUGGUGGGUGGCCGGCAGCUGAGGCGGUGGGUGCUCACGUUGGUGGCUGUUUGUUUUAUUUUUCUUUCAAUUUUAAAUUAUUUUUUAAAAAGUUUUAUUAAGUUAACAAUAUUCAGUGAUUGAACAACUGUCAAAAAAUUAUGCAAGGAACAUGAAGGAAACAGAAAAUGAGGACAGUGGAUCCCCAUAUCCUCGAAGUAAAUUUAGGUUUUAGUCACAAAAAAACUUUCAUUUGCCUACUGCUAGAUAUAGUUGAGGGUGUGUAGAGAUAGAGACUGGGUGCAAACGGGAAUUCCUGAUAUGCAUAUCAGUGACGAUGUCUAACCAAGGCCCAAAAUGGGCAUCUAAGCAAACGUAAGCAAGCCCCAGGUCGACUCGGGCCCGGAUUGUUCUUGUUAUUUACUCUUUCUCAGUAACAGAAAAGGGUUAUUUUUUCUGCCACCAUUUUCUUCACUCACCGACAGAAAGAGGCGGAUCAUUUGGGUCACAGGAGAAAGAUGAAGAGCCAAAGCAGUUAUGCCCCACCGGCGUACAUUCCUUUAGGGAUGUCGGAUUCUGAAUCGGCAAUUGUUUUGCGAAAUGAAGAGCCUCCCAAGCAGCAAAACAGUGUUGAUGGGCCUGUACAAUGGUCUUCUGGAAUCUGCGCAUGCUGUGACGAUAUGCAGAGCUGUAUGCUACUUUCUGCCUUGUGACCUUCAUUUAUCAGAAGGAAAAAAAAUGAAGGUUGUGUAGGUCUAUUUUGUCCUUGCUUUUUAUUUGGAAAGAAUGCAGAAUUUCUGGGUUCUGGGACAUUCAUAGGAUCAUGCAUGAUGCAUUUUAUUUUGUGGGCACUCGUUAAUACCGUCUGCUGCUUAUUGACUGAGGGUCUUGUUUUGGGAGUACCGGGAUGCUUUGUUGCAUGUUAUGCUUGUGGCUACCGCAGGACCCUAAGAUCAAAGUAUAAUCUUCAGGAAGCACCAUGUGGAGACUUUGUCACUCAUUUUUUCUGCCAUUUGUGUGCCAUUUGUCAAGAGUACAGGGAGAUCCGAGAAAAAUCUGCUGAUUCUGGCUUUCCUGACCUGAGUCUGGCCGUAGUUACAGCCCCACCAGUCCAGACAAUGGAACCGGGUCUUGAAGAGUAAACCACUGUUUUUGUACUCAUGCAGGAUCAGCAUUUGGUCUAGGUUAUGCAACCUUCAUCAUGCCCCUCAGUGGAUAUUGUUAGUGAAGCCCUCCACAAUUUAUUUUGUCUUUUAAGUUCUUUGGUGUAGUCUAUACCAGGGUUGAUUUAAUUAUGCUAUCAGUCAUAUGGUGUGCUUGUUUCACUGGUUCUGCUUCAACCUGCAACCUAUGCGGCUUUUCCAUAUGAAAGUACAUGAUGAAUUUUAUGAAAUGAAAAAGAAAAUAGGAGUUGAAAAACA
Molecule: RNA transcript, 1650 nt
Organism: Prunus persica (peach)
Lineage: Eukaryota; Viridiplantae; Streptophyta; Magnoliopsida; Rosales; Rosaceae
Gene name: protein PLANT CADMIUM RESISTANCE 10
Exons: 4
Source: RefSeq, a predicted model, not a curated record